RNAcentral lists this non-coding RNA (768 nucleotides) under Ahlbergia frivaldszkyi. Lineage: Eukaryota; Metazoa; Arthropoda; Insecta; Lepidoptera; Lycaenidae. The record is from RNAcentral.
AAAAAAAUUUUUAUAGUUUAAUUAUUUUAUUUUAAAUUUAUUUUACAUACAAAUUUUAGUAUAAAUUUUUAAUUAUUUUAAUAAUAAUAAUUUAUGUAGUAAUUAAUUUUAAAUUAUUUAAGAAAUUAAGAUUUAUUAAUAUUUAAAUAAAUAACAAAUUUUGUGCCAGCAGUUGCGGUUAUACAAAAAUUUAAUUAAAAUUUUUCAGUAUAUAAUAAAUAAAUAUUAUAUUUAAAAUAAAAGUUAAAUUAUUAAGUGAAAUUUUAAUUUAAUAAAAUUUUAUUUAUAAAUUAUGAUUUAAUAAAUUUAAUAAAAAACUAGGAUUAGAUACCCUAUUAUUAAAAAUUAAAAAAAUAAUACUAAAAUAGUAAAUAAUUAUUUAUUGAAACUUAAAUAAUUUGGCGGUAUUUUAGUUCAUUUAGAGGAAUCUGUCUAAUAAUUGAUAAUCCACGAUUAAAUUUACUUAAUUUAUAAUUUUAUAUAUCGUUGUUAAAAAAAUAUUUUUAAAUAAUAAUAAUAUUUUAAAUUUAUAAUUAAAAAUUAAUUCAGAUCAAGAUGUAGAAAAUAAUUAAGAAUAUGAUGGAUUACAAUAAAUUUAUUUAAAUGAAUUUUUAUUUGUAAAAAUAAUAUGAAAGUGGAUUUAAAUGUAAUUUUAUUUAAUUAAAUAAAAUGAUUAAAAAUUAAAAUAUGUACAUAUUGCCCGUCGCUUUCAUUUAAAAAUUGGAAUAAGUCGUAACAAAGUAGAUGUACUGGAAAGUGUUUCUAGAA